Molecule: ribosomal RNA, 447 nt
Filed under: uncultured bacterium
Lineage: Bacteria
Description: SSU rRNA
Rfam family: Bacterial small subunit ribosomal RNA
Source: RNAcentral
AGAGCGAACGCUGGCGGCAGGCCUAAUACAUGCAAGUCGAACGGACCCUUCGGGAUUAGUGGCGGACGGGUGAGUAACACGUGGGAACGUACCCUUUGGUUCGGAACAACUCAGGGAAACUUGAGCUAAUACCGAAUGUGCCCUUCGGGGAAAAGAUUUAUCGCCAUUGGAGCGGCCCGCGUCUGAUUAGCUAGUUGGUAGGGUAAAGGCCUACCAAGGCUACGAUCAGUAGCUGGUCUGAGAGGAUGAUCAGCCACACUGGGACUGAGACACGGCCCAGACUCCUACGGGAGGCAGCAGUAGGGAAUCUUGCGCAAUGGGCGAAAGCCUGACGCAGCCAUGCCGCGUGAAUGAUGAAGGUCUUAGGAUUGUAAAAUUCUUUCAGCGGGGACGAUAAUGACGGUACCCGCGAGAAGAAGCCCCGGCUAACUUCGCGCCAGCAGCCGC